AAAGUAGUGUUUCCUUAUUAGAAGAUACAAAGCCAAAGACUCAUACGGACUUUGGCUACACCAUAAAAGCUUUGAGAAGCAAUAAGAAGCUUGGCUUAGUGUUUUGGAGUCAAAUAUGACUAUGAGUCAUUUGUAUGAUUAAGUAUAAGAACUAGUACCGCAAUCGGUUCCCAAAAGUUAAAGUAGAGUUUCAUUGGUACAAGAUACAUAGCCAAAGACUACUUCCA
This 227-nucleotide small RNA is filed under the name Arabidopsis thaliana (thale cress). RNAcentral describes it as "ATSL040180". Lineage: Eukaryota; Viridiplantae; Streptophyta; Magnoliopsida; Brassicales; Brassicaceae. The record is from RNAcentral.